Molecule: long non-coding RNA, 5387 nt
Filed under: Gallus gallus (chicken)
Lineage: Eukaryota; Metazoa; Chordata; Aves; Galliformes; Phasianidae
Source: RNAcentral
CAGUUUAAGACCAUUCCCCCUUGUCCUAUCACUAUCCACCCCUGUAAACAGUUGUUCUCCCCCCUUAUUUAUACGCUCCCUUCAAAUUCUGGAAGGCCACAAUGAGGUCUCAAACGGUAAGUUUUAAACAUCUCAGAUUAUGUGCACAGAUGAACCUAUAACAAAUCCUUGGCCUUGUUUCCUCUUGCAAUGUAAGCUGCAAUGUAACUAGUCUGCUUUCACUAAGGGCUGGGUUAGAGGCUUUCUCUACAAAACUGGUGACUUAAGUACGUGAAAAGCAGUUGCUUUCAGCAGCAGUUUGAACACAUCCACUAAAAAUGAGCCCAUUAUUAAUUAGGUGGUCCCUGUUUAUCAUAGAAUCAUAGAAUCGCUAAGGUUGGAAAAGACCCCCAGGAUCAUCCAUUCCAACCAUUCACCCAUCACCAAUGGUUCCCGCUAAGCCAUGUCCCUCAACACAACAUCCAAACACUCUUUGAACACCACCAGGCUCGGUGACUCCACCACCUCCCUGGGCAGCCCAUUGCAGUGCCUGACCACCCUUUCAGAGAAGUAGUAUUUCCUAACGUCCAGCCUGAACCUUCCCUGGCACAGUUUGAAGCCGUUCCCUCUAAUCCUGGGAGGACUAUCCAUCCUAUCAGCUCCAGAGCCACCUGUAAUAGUAAGAGAUGGUUUGCUGCACAAGGCUGUCGUGUCAAUGAAUUCACUGGUUACUCAGAGUGUUCAGUAGCUGUAUUUCUUCCAGUUCAUCAUACAGAAAAGUUGUGAAGGACAUGCAGCACUUAGUGAGUACAUCUAUAUACAGUCAGCCAGGAGUGAGAUUAAAGAUGAUACAGCAAUCAGAGGAAUGAUUCUGGCCUGCCAGAUACAUUGAACAGACUAAAGGUGUUUUCUUGAUGUUUCUUAAAGAAAAGUUUAAGACUUUAUUCAAGAUGGGUAUCAAGCAGUAUAACAAAACCAGCAAAACGUGGACCUUUGGAAUACUGUUGUAAUGGCCAUUCUUGUGAGGCAUUACAUCUGUUGUUUCAUCACAUCUCUUCUACUGAUCACAGGAAAGGAAUCACAUGAAGCGCACAAUGAUGAUCCUCAGAUAGUCUGUGUAACACAACUCCCAACGCAGUGGUCUCUGCUAUUUCAAAUACAGUGCAAGGUGCAUAACAGGUACCCAAAACGAACACCAAAAGGCGACUGUGAUUAACGAGCCCUCUGCCACAAGUACAGGGGUUUCAUUGCUACAUGAGAACGCUUCAGGGAGCAGUCAGAGGCAGCAGGUUGUUUACAUGAGGCUAACGAGCAUCGGAUCUCUCCAAGCAGUUUUCUCCAUCUCAUUAAGAAUAAAUAACCUGGUUUUCCUUUUCUGUCUGUGCUGGGUUUGCACUUACACAGUUCAGAUUAGCGUGGGAUUACUCCAAGGUGAUUGGUGGUGGUACAUAAAGUCUUUCUAACUGAUGUGAUCCUGAUUCAGCAGUCGCUGAGCACUGACUGCACUGACACUGGCCGCAGCAGCAAGAAUGAAGGCAUGGGGACUGCACUGAGCUGCUCUGAACUUACUGUCUUCCUAACUGAGGUGUGCUUAUGGUACACUUGGUGAACUUACAGACUCAUUUACCACAGACCAUCUUCAGAUGCUGUUUCCUUCCUUUCAGCAUCAACUUAAAGUAAUGCAUGUUACCUUGUGCUGGUUAAAGGCUGUAUUUUCUAGGGCUGACCUAUUUGAAGCGGGCUCAGCAUGAGCCAGCAGUGUGCAGCCAAGAGCUGAAUGUAUUUUGGGAUGCAUUAAACACAACGUGGCCAGCAGGUCAAGAGAGGUGAUUCUCCCCCUGUAUUUAGCUUUGGUGCAGCCUCAUCUUGAAUACUGCUUGGAGUUCUGGACUGCACAACACAAAAAAGGAUGUUAAGGCUCUUGGAAGCACUCGGAGGAGGCACCAAAGAUGGUAGCAGGGCUGGAGGCAUGUCCUGUGAGGAGGCUGAGGGCACUGGGGGUGUCCAGCCUGGAGAAGAGGCUGAUAGGUGACCUCACUGCUCCCUGCAGCACCGUGGGGAGGGGAAGCAGAGUGAGGUGCCGGGCUCUGCUCCUGGGAACUGCUGGCAGAAGGGGAAUGGCACAGAGCUAUGCCAGGGUUGGGCAUUGGGAAACAUUUCUGUCCCAUGAGAGGUCAGAUAAAGGAACAGGCUUCCUCAGGGGGUGGCUGAUAGCCCAAGCCUGCCAGCAUUCAAGAGCGAUUUCGAUGAUGCUCUCAAUGCCAUGCGUUAACUUUUGGUUAGCCCUGCAUAGGUCAGGCAGUUGGACUUGAUGGUAUUUAUGGGUCCCUUCCAACUGAGUAUUCCAUUCUAUUCUCUUCAGGGUUACAUUCUCCAGCCCAUCUCUGCUAAGAGGUGUCCGCCAGCCCUGCAGGACUGCUGGUGGAGCCACCUGCCCGACAGGCCCCUAUAUCCGUACUUCUCUUAAGCCGGGGAAUCCCAGAUCUUGAAGCUAUUUUAAACCACUGGCUGCAAGAGGGCUUGCUUUGAGAAGUAAUAUCAGCUGCAGCCCUGAGCCUGAGCUGGGAGGAAGAGGACUUCUUCCCAUCCCUAUGAGCUGUUUCCCUAUGAUCGCGUUCUGCAAACCCUUUGCCACGAGGGGUCAGCAUCAGCGCAGGAAGGCGGCUUGCUGAACGGGCUCGUUCCCGUGGCAGAGAAAAACCGCAACAGAAGACUUCACGUCUGAUGUUUAUUUUAAAUGAAUGCAAAUAGCCACAGGGUGAAAUGACAGAGCUGGGGCGACACCUGUAAACAACCUGUGUGUGGAAAACGAGGAAUCAAAAGCAAAUGACCGUUCUCUUCUGUACACAGAACACUACAGCACGAAGUGCACGCGGGUCGGCAUUCACAUUUCUUGUCUAUCUACACACAAAUAUACAGCUCCGUUGAUAAAUUAAUACUUUUUUUUUUUUGCCAGAGAUAUGAAAAGGUUUAUUUGUCUCAUUUACACAAUGGAUGUUUGGAGAGAUAUAAGGCAACUCCCUUGUCAACAAUUUCACCUCAGCACUUAAGAAAAUCCAAACAGUCAAAGUUUACAGUAAAACAGCAGAUUAGACACAUUUAAUAAUUUGAGUGAGAAUCAAUGUUAAUCCAGCAUGUCUGAGAGUAGAACUGAUCAGAUGUUAAGUGGCUCCAUGUUUUGUGGGGUUUUUUUUGGCAUAAUUGAGUGCAAACUUGUCAGCUUUUUCUCUUAUGGCAACCUAUUGCAUAGCAUGGAAACACGGCUUGCUUGCAACAGGAUCUCAUUUCUGCUAACACUGCAGGCGGUUUUGCUGUUUCUUUUUAAUGUUUGCCAAAAUAAAUCAAACAAACUUUAAAGCUGCUUUAAAAUAAAACACACAAGCUUAGCUCCUCCAAGCAUUUGCUGAGUAUCUCAUAAGGGCUGACUCUUCUGUAACUGCUAUUUAUAUUUGUUUGUUUGUUUGUUUUCCAGUGUAUUUUCUGAAGGCUUCUUCCUUCUCACCCAUUGGAAAAUACAAUUGCAUUACACGUGUGAAGGAAACACAGUUCUCAGCACAACGAUUUAAUCAGAAUACAUGUGAUCCACUUGAAGAAAGAGAAACAGCAUUACAGCUCAGCUUUCCCUCAUGAGUCUUGGACAUUUUCACACAGCUAAAGCACUCAGGCAUUUGUUACAUCGCUCACAGGCUUGAGGAGGAAGAGAGGGAAGAGAAAUCCAUGGCUUCUGCAAAUCCACUUCCUUAAUGAUAAAGCCAUAAAUAAAUACACUGCCGGUGUAUCAUCACGAGCAACUGAUUAUUUUCGUUGUUGCUGUGCAUUCACAGAGCUAGAGCUAUGCAGACACAAUGAGAAGUGUAAAUGUACAGCCUUACAGGAUUAGCGUGAGUGGGGAUACACAGCAAACAAAACAAGAACUCUCCAUCUGCAGGUGUCUGUCAGACUGUCCUAACCACGUUGCUGACAAACGCGAGAAGCGUGGGACGGGAUACAGAGACAGGAGCGAGGAAGGCCAUGUCUACAACGCUGUACAUCGAAGCACAUCCAUCCCACUGCUGUUUCCUACAUUAUUAACGAGUAGCUCUUUAAGGCAGAAGAGAGACAUUCUGUGGAUCUUGGUGCUAUUGGCUCAUUGCACUCACAUUGUUUCAGUGGCAGAGGACGAGGUACUUUUCUUCCUGAUGCGAGGUCUAAGGGUCCUAGGCGGUGCCUGCAGAAAAGCAAGAGAAAACUUCGUUGGUGAAACAGGAAAUUCUUUCUUUCUUUCCUUAAAACUCACCUAUCUUUGUGGCACUUCUGUGGUAGUGAUCCUGUUUCUGGCAUGAAGAAAGAGAGAAGCCCAUUUUGGCCCUCGAGAUUGUUAAUGAAGGAUCGGUUGAGGAUUAACCCCUUGAAGAGAACCACUGUAGACCCUUACCUAGCUUACACCACCUUCAUUAGCCAAAGGCAUGGCCAAAUACUGCUAGUAAUACAAAGGUCAAAGCAGACAGGAGAAAUCGGUGCAAUUUGCAUCGGCCAUCAGCUCAAGACAGCAAACUGGUGGCGGGAAGCCCACUGCUGUUUCCCAACCACCCUGCAGGGUCCAGCCCAGUUGUGAGUACCUUGGGGCAUCCCAAAGCAGAAGGGGUCACCGUUGUGAAACACACUGGGCUCUUUCUUGGGAGACUGGGUAGAAUUUGUUGCAAUGAUUUCAGAUGAGGACUAUUGCAGUUCUGCCUUGCAGCCAGCUGAUGAGGACAGCUUUGAAAAGGAGCCCUUAAGCGUGGAAAUGUAUGGAAAGACCCCCAGGCAAAUCUGCCCAGGGAGAACCAUAGAAUGUCCAAGAGGAGCCAGGUCAACUCCGUAAGAUUGGUUUACUCUGAUUAGCUCCAUUCUCCAGACUAAACUGACUGAGAUAGAAACUACCUAGCAAGGCCAACAAACAAAAAAAGACCCACCAACCUCAUCUGCAUUGCAUAAUUCACUCUGAAGAGCUUUGGUAUGGCACUGGGGCUCAUCAGAUUCACAAGAAGUGGUUACCACAAGUUGCAGAGGAGCACAAACUCUCAAUGUGGAUGCCUAGCAAAGCAUAGUAGAUAACACUGCAAGGCCUGUUAAGCUCUUCUACUUUGUUUUCAGGAACGUCCAAAGCUUUGUUUUCAUUAACAGCAUAAACCUAUUUACGUGGAAGACUAUGACAGGGUCUUACCAUUUGUAAAUGAAGACUUAAUCAUUUAUAUUUUAUAGGACUAUCCAAUCCAAGAUCAUGCUGUAUUUCCACAUUCUUGUGAUACAGGAGGUAUAAACAUUCAUACGGGUAAGCUAAACAAAAUCACAGUGAGGUUUCGUUCAGACUCCAUCCAGCUUCUAAGCCUGAUCUUUUACCCCACUCUGAGUCCCCAAAAGCACAAACAAUCAAGGUAAGAUGGCUG